Molecule: ribosomal RNA, 434 nt
Filed under: bacterium 247
Lineage: Bacteria
Description: bacterial SSU rRNA
Rfam family: Bacterial small subunit ribosomal RNA
Source: RNAcentral
AACGCGAAGAACCUUACCUGGUCUUGACAUCCACGGAAUUCGGCAGAGAUGCCUUAGUGCCUUCGGGAACCGUGAGACAGGUGCUGCAUGGCUGUCGUCAGCUCGUGUUGUGAAAUGUUGGGUUAAGUCCCGCAACGAGCGCAACCCUUAUCCUUUGUUGCCAGCGGUCCGGCCGGGAACUCAAAGGAGACUGCCAGUGAUAAACUGGAGGAAGGUGGGGAUGACGUCAAGUCAUCAUGGCCCUUACGACCAGGGCUACACACGUGCUACAAUGGCAUAUACAAAGAGAAGCGACCUCGCGAGAGCAAGCGGACCUCAUAAAGUAUGUCGUAGUCCGGAUUGGAGUCUGCAACUCGACUCCAUGAAGUCGGAAUCGCUAGUAAUCGUGGAUCAGAAUGCCACGGUGAAUACGUUCCCGGGUCUUGUACACACCG